This 441-nucleotide ribosomal RNA is filed under the name uncultured bacterium. RNAcentral's name for it is "partial 16S ribosomal RNA". It matches the Rfam family "Bacterial small subunit ribosomal RNA", at positions 338 to 795 of the family's 1533-position model. The record is from RNAcentral.
CCUACGGGAGGCAGCAGUGGGGAAUAUUGCACAAUGGGGGAAACCCUGAUGCAGCAACGCCGCGUGAGUGAAGAAGUAAUUAGGUAUGGAAAGCUCUAUCAGCAGGGAAGAAGAAAGAAGGUAGCUGACUAAAAAGCACAGGCUAACUACGUGACAGCAGCCGCGGUAAUAAGGAGGGGGCAAGCGUUAACCGGAUUUACUGGGUGUAAAGGGAGCGUAGACGGCUGUGCAAGUCUGAAGUGAAAGCCCGUGGCUCAACCGCGGAACUGCUUUGGAAACUGUAUACCUUGAGUACUGGAGAGGUAUGCGGAAUUCCUGGUGUAGCGGUGAAAUGCGUAGAUAUUAGGAGGAACACCAGUGGCGAAGGCGGCCUGCUGGACAGAAACUGACGUUGAGGCUCGAAAGCGUGGGGAGCAAACAGGAUUAGAUACCCUAGUAGUC